UGUACAUUCUCCUUGUUUUGGUGUCUUUCACACCCAAUGGACAUUCCCCACUUGGUCCAUGUUCUGGGAUAAGUGAAAGAACAUGGUUAUUAGAAAUUUUAUCAUGCAGUUGUGGUGGAUGUUGAGGUACAUUAAUAACAUAUGUGGGAUAUUAGCUUUUGUUUCUUAUUUUCCUUUUUAAAAUCUGAGCAUCUUUGUACUUUGAGGAGGUUAAACCAUUAUUUUUUUUGAGAGCAGAACCUUUGAACUUAUUGUUUCCACUUUUGCAUUUACUGUUUAUGUGACUAUUGUUUACUUCCCCUUUCCUUUUUCUCCCAGCAUAAUGUUUUUUCUUCAACUUCCUAUUUUUGUCAAUAUUACACAAAUACAUUUACAAACAUGCUCCUCAUACACCAAGAUUAUUUGCCUAUUUUUACAGAAAUAUCUUGAGGAAGAAUGAGAAGGCUUAGAAAAGAAAAUCUCCCCCAAGUGCACAUAGAUAUAUAAAAGCCAAUAGAAAGUCACAGUGUCCUUUCAUUUUGCUGACAUUUAAAGGACUGCAUUUCUUUUGGUGACCCCCCCUAAAGGCUUCUAACCCACAGUUUCAAGGACCUUCAUCAAAAGAUGUUAUCAUGUUGUGUUGACCAACAAAAACAGCACUAUCACAUAUAAAACCGGGCUGCACAGAACUCACUCAGCCUCAGAGGAACAAUAAAUCCAGAGCGAUUUUCAUAUUUCCAGUUCCAAACAAUAUUUUCAUUCUAGGCUUUAAGCAUACAUUUUUAUAGGUACUAGUUUCGUGCUUCCUUUUACAGUUCACACCACACUGUGCCCCAACUGUAAAAUCCCACAGGGACCACUGAGACGCUUAUGUCAAACUGCACCAUGGCUGUUAAUUCUUAAUGUCUGCAGUAAAUGUGCAGGCCUCAGGGUGAGUUCUAAGACCUGACCAUGGAAAACGAUUAAGGGAAGAAGUAGGAAAUGAGGGGCAGAAGAGACCAAGAAAAAACAAAAAGGCAAACACAAACUUAGUAUAAGAAAGUUAGACCUGGAAGGAAGUUGACCUCCUUAAUUAUACUGUAGAGUACAGUUUCCAAGACCAACCUAAAGUCGCUGCAAUAAUUUGUGCUUUGAAAUUCUAAACCAAUCAUAUUACAUCACCUUGUCAUAAUAGAAAGAGUUAACUCACUGAAGGAAUUAAAAAUGAAAAUGCAAGUAUUCCCAUCAUUAUGAUGAUUGAAGUUUCAUGGCAUUAUUAACAUUUUAUCCAAAACGCUGCUGU
This 1261-nucleotide long non-coding RNA is filed under the name Callithrix jacchus (white-tufted-ear marmoset). RNAcentral describes it as "lncRNA (ENSCJAG00000085977.1)". The record is from RNAcentral. Lineage: Eukaryota; Metazoa; Chordata; Mammalia; Primates; Cebidae.